UGAACGCUGGCGGCAGGCCUAACACAUGCAAGUCGAACGGUAACAGGCAGAAGCUUGCUUCUUUGCUGACGAGUGGCGGACGGGUGAGUAAUGUCUGGGAAACUGCCUGAUGGAGGGGGAUAACUACUGGAAACGGUAGCUAAUACCGCAUAACGUCGCAAGACCAAAGAGGGGGACCUUCGGGCCUCUUGCCAUCGGAUGUGCCCAGAUGGGAUUAGCUAGUAGGUGGGGUAACGGCUCACCUAGGCGACGAUCCCUAGCUGGUCUGAGAGGAUGACCAGCCACACUGGAACUGAGACACGGUCCAGACUCCUACGGGAGGCAGCAGUGGGGAAUAUUGCACAAUGGGCGCAAGCCUGAUGCAGCCACGCCGCGUGUAUGAAGAAGGCCUUCGGGUUGUAAAGUACUUUCAGCGGGGAGGAAGGGAGUAAAGUUAAUACCUUUACUCAUUGACGUUACCCGCAGAAGAAGCACCGGCUAACUCCGUG
RNAcentral lists this ribosomal RNA (488 nucleotides) under uncultured bacterium. Its description in RNAcentral is "partial 16S ribosomal RNA". It matches the Rfam family "Bacterial small subunit ribosomal RNA", at positions 30 to 507 of the family's 1533-position model. The record is from RNAcentral.